RNAcentral lists this long non-coding RNA (739 nucleotides) under Vitis vinifera (wine grape). RNAcentral describes it as "long non-coding RNA (VVIN_LNC008160)". Lineage: Eukaryota; Viridiplantae; Streptophyta; Magnoliopsida; Vitales; Vitaceae. The record is from RNAcentral.
CUCUAACACGUACUCUCCUUACUGUUUUGUUGCUUGAGAGCUUAGUGUUUGCUGGCUGGCGACCAAGUUCAUACCUUCAAAAUAAAGUGAGCAAAUAAGCAUGAAGCAUAGAACUGAACUGAGAAAUUACAACAAAUCCGCAGCCCCAGCAUUCACACAUGCACAAGGUCCAGUUAAAAUAGGUUCAUCAUCUUAACAACCCAAUGGAAGUGAGCCUAAUAAAAAUUCCAAAGGCAAUAUAACCAAACCACAUGUUCACCCUCAUUAAUAAUCUUCUCUCUAUUCACCCUUGUUUCUCUUUUUGUUUCUUGCAACUGAUUAAUACAAAAUUUUUGGGUGGGCUUAUCUAAGAGAGCAAAUUCAACACAAUCCAUUCAAAAUAACUCAAGCCAUUUUCCAGAAUCAAUCUUUUUAGUAAAAUAUUCAACAGAGAGCUCUACAUUUUGAAAAUGUUGACUAUUCCUGACCAGAUACUGACAACUCUAACCUUCCAGUUCACAGUCAUAAUACGCUGACAAAAACUCACAAUGAUGGAGUAAACAUUGAGUAAAGCAAGAAGAUUGAAUAGCAGAUGACUUGGGAAAAGGGAACUAAACUGAGAAAGAAAAAAACAAGAGAACUAUUGGAAACAUACAUACACAAACACACAUUAUUUAAAGCUUGCAAGCUUGAGAUUCGAAAAGCUUAGGUGUUAUUUGGAUACACUUUUUUGCUUUCCGUUUUUGAAAACAAAAAAUGA